Molecule: ribosomal RNA, 253 nt
Filed under: uncultured bacterium
Lineage: Bacteria
Description: partial 16S ribosomal RNA
Rfam family: Bacterial small subunit ribosomal RNA
Source: RNAcentral
UACAGAGGGGGCAAGCGUUGUUCGGAUUCAUUGGGCGUAAAGGGUGCGUAGGCGGCGAGGCAAGUCUGGUGUGAAAUCCCGGGGCUCAACCCCGGAACUGCACUGGAUACUGCUUUGCUAGAGUACUGGAGAGGGAACUGGAAUUUACGGUGUAGCAGUGAAAUGCGUAGAUAUCGUAAGGAAGACCAGCGGCGAAGGCGAGUUCCUGGACAGUUACUGACGCUGAGGCACGAAGGCCAGGGGAGCAAACGGG